Molecule: ribosomal RNA, 253 nt
Filed under: uncultured bacterium
Lineage: Bacteria
Description: partial 16S ribosomal RNA
Rfam family: Bacterial small subunit ribosomal RNA
Source: RNAcentral
UACGUAGGGGGCAAGCGUUGUCCGGAUUUAUUGGGCGUAAAGAGCGUGUAGGCGGCCACACAGGUCUGCUGUGAAAACUCGAGGCUCAACCUCGAGCUGUCGGUGGAAACCGUGUGGCUAGAGUCCGGAAGAGGAGAGUGGAAUUCCCGGUGUAGCGGUGAAAUGCGCAGAUAUCGGGAAGAACACCCGUGGCGAAGGCGGCUCUCUGGGUCGGUACUGACGCUGAGACGCGAAAGCGUGGGGAGCGAACAGG